Molecule: long non-coding RNA, 1034 nt
Filed under: Androctonus crassicauda
Lineage: Eukaryota; Metazoa; Arthropoda; Arachnida; Scorpiones; Buthidae
Source: RNAcentral
GUGAAAGUGAACACAAAGAAUUACAUGGAAGAAAUUCUAAAACUGAUCAUAUAGCCACUGGAUGCUGGUCUUCACUGUCAAUCAUAGCUGAUGUUUCCAACAAGACUCUGCUCCAUCACAGAAAGCCGAAGUUAUCCAGAGGUGCUAAUGCGGCUUGUUCUAGUGUAAGGAAACAAAAAAUAAUUGUACGAACUUACCUGUUAAGACUCCCGCCAUGUUUGUAAUCUCAUCUCAGUGACGUUUUGGACCAUUGUGAAGGAAUGGCGACAAUAGAGUUGUUUUAUUAUUAAUAUUGAUCAUAACAAGGGAAUAAUACUAAUUGAUAUAUAACAUCAGUUUUAUUAAGAAAUUUCUAUUACAAGAUUUGUUAUACAGUCGUAAUAUGCUAAUGAGUAGUCGAAUAAAAGGAGGUGCUGUGGAAUGGCGUGGUGUGUUCUCCUCAUUGAUUGUCUUUACGUCCUGUCGCCGUCCUGGACAGAUUCGUUGGUAGCCGCUGUUGUGUGUUGUCUGUGGUGGAUAUUGUCAGCCAAGCUGGACUGUUGUGGUUUUGUGAAGAUUGUGUUUUUAUGUUUUGGAAGUGUCUUCUGUUAAAAAGUUUUGCUGUAAGAGAGGAGAACAUUCUUAAUUAUUUUCGUCUAACAAGUUGUCAGUUAGUAGUUUGGUUAAAUAAAAAAAAGUUAUUUACUUGUUUACUUACCUGUUUAUUUAAUGUCGUCAUUGCAAGAGAUAGUAAGUUUUAUCCUGGAAUGGUUGGAGAAUUGGGAGUUAGGUAUUUAUGUAAAAUUCGACUGGAAACGAAGAAAUGCUGGUGAGGGACUCUGGGGUCCGACCUUUGGCAGGGAGGCAGAAUGUGUCUUCCUCGCACUAGUAAAAAUGGUCUGCUGUAUUUUCAGAUCUGAAUUCAUUAGAUUACAAUAUAUGGUAAAGAGAGAGGAGUUAAAGUGAAUGCAAGACCCUUCAGCAGUGUCAAUGAUGUAAAGAGAGAGGAGUUAAAGUGAAUGCAAGACCCUUCAGCAGUGUCAAUGAUGUAAAGA